RNAcentral lists this long non-coding RNA (394 nucleotides) under Anser brachyrhynchus (Pink-footed goose). Its description in RNAcentral is "lncRNA (ENSABRG00000006533.1)". Lineage: Eukaryota; Metazoa; Chordata; Aves; Anseriformes; Anatidae. The record is from RNAcentral.
CUUUAACGUCUUGUUACACAGGCAGUCCUGAGGGUGUUCAAAGAGACCCAAAUUCUGCUGUCUGCAGAGCUGCUAGCUCUGCAAGGCCCGAGCCAGCCGUGAUGGGAGUUAAUGCUACGAACUCACCAAGUUUCUCUUACCUAAAGGCACCUGGGAGUAAGAAAACAUCCUAAAUCGUGUCUGGAGAUGUCUCCGAAUGAUUAGCUAGUUUGGAUCAAUCCUCUCAGAGCUCUAAGAUGAGCCAAAAGUGGAAAUAAGAGGUCAUGGAAACAAAAAUGAAGCAUAGGCCACAAAUGGGAAGAUUCUAAUAGCAUAUGAGUUUACAUAGCUGAUUUUUAUACAAACACAGAUAUAAGAAGAGACAUAUUAACCUAGGUGUUAAUGUAUGGGUUGC